RNAcentral lists this transfer RNA (95 nucleotides) under Streptomyces hundungensis. Its description in RNAcentral is "tRNA-Arg". The record is from RNAcentral. Lineage: Bacteria; Bacillati; Actinomycetota; Actinomycetes; Kitasatosporales; Streptomycetaceae.
CUGCGCGUGGUCGGCGCGUUCGCCUUCCGGCCGCUCCUGGUGGCCGUCGCCGUGGUGCGGGCCGCCGCCGACCGUUCGGGCCCGCUCGCGCGCCC